GAUGAAAUUUGAAAAAAAUAGGCAGGACAGGAGUUUUGAGUAAAAAAAAAGGCAGGAUGAGACACUUGCAAAAAAAAAGUCAGGACGACAAUUUAGGUAAAUAAAAGUCAGGAUAAACUAAAAAAAGUAGGCAGGACCGAACAGAGUGAAAAAUGAAAAGGCAGGACAGAUAUUACAGCUAAAAAAAAAUGCAGGACAACAUUUUUCAUCCUAGCCCCCCCCCCCCCCCAUAAAAAUCAAAUGGUAGCUCCCUUAUGUAAAGCGAGAAAGCUUAGUUUGCCAAUAGAUAUUUUGUUACAAUUAUUUGAUGCAAUGGUGGCACCUAUUUUGUUAUAUGGUGCAAGAAGUAUGGGGUUAUGAAAAUAAUGACAUUAUUGAGUCUUUGCAUUUAGAAUUUUGCAAGUAUAUAUUAAAGGUUAAAAAAUGUACGCCAAACUAUAUUGUAUAUGGCGAACUUGGUAGAACACCCAUGUCUAUAUGCAUUAAAGCUAGAAUGGUUUGUUUUUGGCAGCGAAUUUUAAAUGGCAAGAAAGAG
RNAcentral lists this long non-coding RNA (535 nucleotides) under Mytilus galloprovincialis (Mediterranean mussel). Lineage: Eukaryota; Metazoa; Mollusca; Bivalvia; Mytilida; Mytilidae. The record is from RNAcentral.